UCUCGGCGUAAAGCGUGGUUAAUGAUAAGAAAACUAAAGCCGAAUACUCUCAAAACUGUUAUACGUACUUGACAGUAAGAAGCCCUUUUACGAAAGUAGCUUUACAGUAUUGAAUCCACGAAAGCUAAGGCACAAACUGGGAUUAGAUACCCCACUAUGCUUAGCCUUAAACCUAGAUAACCUAAUUACAUUUGUUAUCCGCCUGGGUACUACGAGCACUAGCUUAAAACCCAAAGGACUUGGCGGUGCUUAAUAACCCCCUAGAGGAGCCUGUUCUAGAACCGAUAACCCUCGUUAAACCUCACCCUUUCUUGUUUAUUCCGCCUAUAUACCGCCGUCGUCAGCUUACCCUGUGAAGGAUAAAAAGUGAGCAAAACAGUAA
RNAcentral lists this ribosomal RNA (382 nucleotides) under Rhabdoblennius ellipes (barred-chin blenny). RNAcentral describes it as "partial 12S ribosomal RNA". It matches the Rfam family "Archaeal small subunit ribosomal RNA", at positions 497 to 1056 of the family's 1478-position model. Lineage: Eukaryota; Metazoa; Chordata; Actinopteri; Blenniiformes; Blenniidae. The record is from RNAcentral.